Molecule: long non-coding RNA, 710 nt
Filed under: Fukomys damarensis (Damara mole-rat)
Lineage: Eukaryota; Metazoa; Chordata; Mammalia; Rodentia; Bathyergidae
Description: lncRNA (ENSFDAG00000022168.1)
Source: RNAcentral
CUCCUUUUUGGAUGUGAUUGAGCCAAAAAUAUCAGACAGCUUCUGAGCUGGGGGUGGGAGGCCACAUGAGAUGGAGAAGCAGGGCACACCCUGACCUCAGGGACAUGGCCCGCACGGUCUCCCCAGGACCCCUCCUCCACCUCUGCCCAGGUCUGCCCUCUCCACUUGGUCAUCAGUACCUGAUCUGGCUGCAACUUUCACCAUUCGUUCGUUCAUUCAUUCAUCCACCUCCCCAAUGCCCCCCAAGCAGCUCCCCGCACAAGGCCUGUUCUGUGACUUACCCCCCUACAGGAGCCCGUCACCCAUGUCACUGGGACAGCCUUGCUGGGAGGACACGCAGGCCCAUCCUUCCUGGGUCGAAGCCGAGCGUUGUGCCUUCUGCCCUCCUGCAGCAGUGUGACCUGAUCCCCAAAUACCCAGACACACAGCCCUGCACUGGCUCACCUGCUGGCCCCUUCGUCACUCUGACUGGUGGCUCUUGGGUAUUUGCUCAUACCCUUACCGUGUGGGGCUGGGCUUCCUGGGGUAUGAGGUGUCCUGCAUUCACUCUGGCCAACUCUGUGAUGAAAAAGGAGAAGUUUCCAGCUGGAACCCAUCUCCAUCUUGUUUCCGCUCACCUGUCCCCGAACCAGAGAGCCGCAGGACAAGCCCAACCUCCAAAGCUGCCCUCUUCUCCUGAGUGGCUCUUAGUGUCUUCAUCUAAAGUGUGA